AGGGCCGCGGCGUCCCAGCAUUUGAAGGGUUGUUUGUUGCUGGGAUUGGUGGCUCUUUUCCGUUGGGGAACUGGAGCGGAGGGAGGAGAGACGCAGGGAGGAGGAGCCGGGGGCCGGCCGACGCUGCGACUCCGCGGUCUGAGGGGCAGGAGCCUGGUCUGCAACCGGGCGGUUACUGGGGAGACGCUUUGUUUGCUAACUUCGAAAGCUGCUUCGGCUGCCUCGGCCGCUUUCGAAGCCACUCAACAAAACACGCCUUCGGGCACACAUAGUUCCAUUUGGUGUCAUCUUUUGAAGCUGCUUCAAGGCCAAGAAAAGACAGAGUUGUGUCUAUCAAGUGAUCAGAGAAUGUAUUUACUUCAUUCAUCUACUGGACAACCAUUGAUAGACCAGGUUUCCCUCCAGCAAGAAUGGUGACUCACAUUUGCUCCUAGUCUCUGGGGAACAGAUACUUUUAUAAAGUAUGCAGACUGUGGGGCUCCAAAUGGCGCAUGAGCAUUCUAUAAUCAUGGUUUCACAUCUCAGGUCAGAGGGUCUUGGGCUGCUUAAGGAGAAGCCGGCCAUUGUCUUUUCAAGGGCCUGGGUUACAACCAUCUUGUGAUUUUAUCCAUCAGGAUUACUCUCCUAGCCUUGGUUACAUGCAUAAUGUAAAACUGGUGCUACUACUUUUGUUUGUAAUCACUUUUCUCCUGGCCAGCACUUCCUUUCCCAGUCUUUUCCCCUCUCUAGUCCAGUCCUCACUGCUCACUGCCUACAGGGGGUUUGGAAUCAAGGGGACAGAACAAAAAGCAUGGAUCUCAAAAGCAUGGAUCUGUAUUGUGCUUUCCAGUUUUUUUUUUUAAGUUUAUUUUUUUGAGAGAGAGAGUGAGCAGGGGAGGGAGAGAGGGGAGGGGAUCUCAAGCAGAUGUGAGCAGGAGAGGGAGAGAAAGGGAGACUCUCAAGCCAAUGUGAGGCUUGAACUCAUGAACCACAAGAUCACAACCUGAUCUGAGAUGAAGAAUGAGACACUCAACCGGCUGAGCCACCCGACUUUGGCUCAGGUUAUGAUCUCACGUUCCUGGGUUCGAGCUCCGUGUCACGCUCUGUGCUGACUGCUAGCUCAAAGCCUGGAGCUCUGUGUCUCCGAUUCUGUGUCUCUCUCUCCGUCCCUCCCCUGUUCACGCUCUGUCUCUGUCUCUCAAAAAUAAAUAAAUGUAAAAAUAAAUUAAUUAAAAAUAAAUAAAUAAUCUCAUUUGAUACAUGAACUGUAAGUGGGUUAUUUUUCCCCCUUAAAGUCAAGUUAAGUAACAGCAAAUAGAACUAAAAGGUAUAAAAGCAAGUAUUGGAC
RNAcentral lists this long non-coding RNA (1327 nucleotides) under Suricata suricatta (meerkat). RNAcentral describes it as "lncRNA (ENSSSUG00005019891.1)". Lineage: Eukaryota; Metazoa; Chordata; Mammalia; Carnivora; Herpestidae. The record is from RNAcentral.